AAAGUCGUAACAAGGUUUCCGUAGGUGAACCUGCGGAAGGAUCAUUAAAAAAUGCUCUAAAAGCAUCUACCCUUUGUGCACUUGUAAUUGAACCAUUUAACAAAUUAAAAAAUAGUUGAAUGGAUCACCCUCACAUACCUCUUUAAACUUUUGUCUGAAACUAUUUUAUGUCUUUGAACAUAAAGAAAUUUUAAUCAAAUAUAACUUUUAACAACGGAUCUCUUGGCUCUCC
RNAcentral lists this unclassified non-coding RNA (232 nucleotides) under fungal sp. RNAcentral's name for it is "partial internal transcribed spacer region". The stretch from base 1 to 47 matches the Rfam family "Eukaryotic small subunit ribosomal RNA", at positions 1785 to 1831 of the family's 1831-position model. The record is from RNAcentral. Lineage: Eukaryota; Fungi.